UAGGGAAUCUUCCACAAUGGGCGAAAGCCUGAUGGAGCAACGCCGCGUGUGUGAUGAAGGGUUUCGGCUCGUAAAACACUGUUGUAAGAGAAGAAUGACAUUGAGAGUAACUGUUCAGUGUGUGACGGUAUCUUACCAGAAAGGAACGGCUAAAUACGCGCCAG
RNAcentral lists this ribosomal RNA (164 nucleotides) under uncultured bacterium. RNAcentral describes it as "partial 16S rRNA". It matches the Rfam family "Bacterial small subunit ribosomal RNA", at positions 355 to 511 of the family's 1533-position model. The record is from RNAcentral.